Molecule: ribosomal RNA, 465 nt
Filed under: Vreelandella stevensii
Lineage: Bacteria; Pseudomonadati; Pseudomonadota; Gammaproteobacteria; Oceanospirillales; Halomonadaceae
Description: partial 16S ribosomal RNA
Rfam family: Bacterial small subunit ribosomal RNA
Source: RNAcentral
CCUACGGGAGGCUGCAGUGGGGAAUAUUGAACAAUGGGGGCAACCCUGAUCCAGCCAUGCCGCGUGUGUGAAGAAGGCCCUCGGGUUGUAAAGCACUUUCAGUGAGGAAGAACGCCUGGUGGUUAAUACCCAUCAGGAAAGACAUCACUCACAGAAGAAGCACCGGCUAACUCCGUGCCAGCUGCCGCGGUAAUACGGAGGGUGCGAGCGUUAAUCGGAAUUACUGGGCGUAAAGCGCGCGUAGGUGGCUUGAUAAGCCGGUUGUGAAAGCCCCGGGCUCAACCUGGGAACGGCAUCCGGAACUGUCAAGCUAGAGUGCAGGAGAGGAAGGUAGAAUUCCCGGUGUAGCGGUGAAAUGCGUAGAGAUCGGGAGGAAUACCAGUGGCGAAGGCGGCCUUCUGGACUGACACUGACACUGAGGUGCGAAAGCGUGGGUAGCAAACAGGAUUAGAUACCCUAGUAGUC